CCUACGGGAGGCUGCAGUGGGGAAUAUUGGACAAUGGGGGGAACCCUGAUCCAGCCAUGCCGCGUGUGUGAAGAAGGCCCUCGGGUUGUAAAGCACUUUCAGUGAGGAAGAACGCCUGGUGGUUAAUACCCAUCAGGAAAGACAUCACUCACAGAAGAAGCACCGGCUAACUCCGUGCCAGCAGCCGCGGUAAUACGGAGGGUGCGAGCGUUAAUCGGAAUUACUGGGCGUAAAGCGCGCGUAGGUGGCUUGAUAAGCCGGUUGUGAAAGCCCCGGGCUCAACCUGGGAACGGCAUCCGGAACUGUCAAGCUAGAGUGCAGGAGAGGAAGGUAGAACUCCCGGUGUAGCGGUGAAAUGCGUAGAGAUCGGGAGGAAUACCAGUGGCGAAGGCGGCCUUCUGGACUGACACUGACACUGAGGUGCGAAAGCGUGGGUAGCAAACAGGAUUAGAUACCCCAGUAGUC
Molecule: ribosomal RNA, 465 nt
Filed under: Vreelandella stevensii
Lineage: Bacteria; Pseudomonadati; Pseudomonadota; Gammaproteobacteria; Oceanospirillales; Halomonadaceae
Description: partial 16S ribosomal RNA
Rfam family: Bacterial small subunit ribosomal RNA
Source: RNAcentral